RNAcentral lists this ribosomal RNA (492 nucleotides) under uncultured bacterium. RNAcentral's name for it is "partial 16S ribosomal RNA". It matches the Rfam family "Bacterial small subunit ribosomal RNA", at positions 29 to 507 of the family's 1533-position model. The record is from RNAcentral.
AGUGAACGCUGGCGGUAGGCCUAACACAUGCAAGUCGAACGGCAGCACAGUAAGAGCUUGCUCUUACGGGUGGCGAGUGGCGGACGGGUGAGGAAUACAUCGGAAUCUACUUUUUCGUGGGGGAUAACGUAGGGAAACUUACGCUAAUACCGCAUACGACCUACGGGUGAAAGCAGGGGAUCUUCGGACCUUGCGCGAUUGAAUGAGCCGAUGUCGGAUUAGCUAGUUGGCGGGGUAAAGGCCCACCAAGGCGACGAUCCGUAGCUGGUCUGAGAGGAUGAUCAGCCACACUGGAACUGAGACACGGCCCAGACUCCUACGGGAGGCAGCAGUGGGGAAUAUUGGACAAUGGGCGCAAGCCUGAUCCAGCCAUACCGCGUGGGUGAAGAAGGCCUUCGGGUUGUAAAGCCCUUUUGCUGGGAAAGAAAAGCAGCAGGUUAAUACCCCGCUGUUCUGACGGUACCCAAAGAAUAAGCACCGGCUAACUUCGUG